CUCCACAGAGAUGGGGACUGCCCUGGGCACCAGCUUGUGAUGGGGGCCGCGGUCCACAGCGAUGGGUGGUGCCGGCUGGUGACACGGCAUAGAGGGGCAGCGACCAACAAGGCAUUAAAGAGGUUAUAUACAUCAUAAAUGACAUGGCAGACAAAAUAGUUAAGGAACACAAAACUGUUAUGACAAGAUUCAUGGGACACGUUUAAGUGGAAAGAGGUGAAUGUGGGUGACACUGUGAAGGCCUCGAAUGGGGAGCUCCUUCCUGCAGACACAGUCCCGAUGUGUUCAUAUAGCAACAUCUAAUCCGGAUAGAGAGACAAAUGUAAGACACGGCAGGCUUUGCCAGAAACAGCUGAAAUGCAAACAGAAAACCAGCUGUUAGGCCUAUCUGGAAAAAUAGACCGUGAAGCACCUGAUCGUCAUUUCAAUGGCUGAGCUUCCGCCUAGGUGGUAAAAGCCCUGUUCCAAUAGGGCCUGACUGGGUCUUGUUAAGAGAUACACAGCUUAGAAAUGCUCAGUGGAUUGGCCGGGCGAGGUGGCUCACGCCUGUAAUCCCAGCGCUUUGGGAGGCCGAGGCGGGAGGAUCAUGAGGUCAGGAGAUUGAGACCAUCCUGGCUAACACAGUGAAACCCCGUCUCUACCAAAAAUACAAAGAAAUUAGCUAGGCGUGGUGGCGGGCGCCUGUAAUCCCAGCCACUCAGGAGGCUGAAGGACGAGAAUGGCAUGAAGCCGGGAGGCGGAGCUUGCAGUGAGCCAAGAUGGCGCCCACUCCAGCCUGGGCACCAGAGUGAGACUCCGUCUCAAGAAAAAAAAAAAAGAAAUGCUCAGUGGAUCACUGGCAUAGUUGUUUACACUGGCUUUGAAACCAAAUUCCUGCAGAAUUCUGUCAAAUCACCUCAAGAGAUCAGAGAUUAAGAAAGUGACAAUGGGCGGGUCUCCCUUUGGUUCCUGCUGCUCUGGUCAUGUCUGUAGUGAGCUGCGUGGGAGCCGUGCUAUGGAAUAAAAAGUAUGGUGACAUUUGGUACCUGAAAGAGGAUUCCAGCUCACAGCAUUGUGUUUGACAUACUGGUGUUCAUCAUCUUAUAACAGUACCUCAUCCCCAUUAGUC
RNAcentral lists this long non-coding RNA (1108 nucleotides) under Homo sapiens (human). RNAcentral describes it as "HSALNT0309795". The record is from RNAcentral. Lineage: Eukaryota; Metazoa; Chordata; Mammalia; Primates; Hominidae.